RNAcentral lists this ribosomal RNA (752 nucleotides) under Choerophryne sp. SJR9649. Its description in RNAcentral is "partial 12S ribosomal RNA". The stretch from base 1 to 510 matches the Rfam family "Bacterial small subunit ribosomal RNA", at positions 786 to 1533 of the family's 1533-position model. Lineage: Eukaryota; Metazoa; Chordata; Amphibia; Anura; Microhylidae. The record is from RNAcentral.
CCCACUAUGCCUAGCUAUAAAAUAUUAACCCACACUUAAACCGCCAGGGAAUUACGAGCCCAAACUUAAAACCCAAAGGACUUGACGGUGUCCCAUCCCCCUAGAGGAGCCUGUUCUAUAAUCGAUUCUCCCCGAUCUACCUCACCACUUCUUGAAUCCACAGUCUGUAUACCUCCGUCGCAAGCUUACCGCAUGAACGUACCCAGUAAGCCAAAAGAUUUAUUAUCCAUACGUCAGGUCAAGGUGCAGCCCACGAAGCGGAAAGAAAUGGGCUACAAUCUCUACAUUAGAACAAACGGAAGACUGUAUGAAACACAGCUACUAAAGGCGGAUUUAGAAGUAAAAAGAAAAUAGAGAGUUCUUUUUAACUAGGCACUGGGACGCGUACACACCGCCCGUCACCCUCUUCAAACAACAAACCAAAAAGUUACUAACACUACAUAAUUAUUUAGAAGAGGCAAGUCGUAACAUGGUAAGCGUACUGGAAAGUGCACUUGGAACAAAAUAUAGCUUAAUAAAAGUAUCUUGCUUACACUAAGAACAUGCCAGCAACCCCUGGCUAUUUUGAGCCUGACCCACAGCCCUUCUAACCGCUAUAAAAUUAUCCCCAUAAUGACUAACUAAAACAUUCUUUCAACCAAGUAAAGGCGAUUAAAAAGUUUUUAGGAGCCCUAACACCAGUACCGCAAGGGAAAAAUGAAAUAAAAAAUGAAAUAAAUUUAAAGCACCAUAAGUAGAGAGAGCCCUCGUAC